GAUUGAAGAGAAGACAACCCGAAAGAAUCAGAACACAUGUGAAAAAAAGCUCCAUAUGGAAGGUGAAUGAGAAGACAACGCAGCUAAAAUUGAGCAGGGGUUGAAAUUGUGCUUGAAGAUCUAGGGCCAUAGCACCAUAUCUGCAAUUUCAAAGUCGCGGUCGAUCUCAAGCUUUUCCUUUGUUUGCUUAAAUUAUUAUAAACAUGUUGAGUGAACCACUCAUGGGGACCUAAUUAGACGUGAUGAAUAACUUACUACGCAAAUGGCUUGUGCCGAUGACAUGCAUGGAACUAUGUAUGAUGUUGCCUAGAGUUAAAAGGCGACAUAGGAGGAACCUACACACCAGCAAUGUAAU
This 355-nucleotide long non-coding RNA is filed under the name Hordeum vulgare. Its description in RNAcentral is "long non-coding RNA (HVUL_LNC015139)". The record is from RNAcentral. Lineage: Eukaryota; Viridiplantae; Streptophyta; Magnoliopsida; Poales; Poaceae.